RNAcentral lists this long non-coding RNA (418 nucleotides) under Ictidomys tridecemlineatus (thirteen-lined ground squirrel). RNAcentral's name for it is "lncRNA (ENSSTOG00000029845.1)". The record is from RNAcentral. Lineage: Eukaryota; Metazoa; Chordata; Mammalia; Rodentia; Sciuridae.
GGAACUGUCGUGAUUAUGUAACUUUGCAGGUUCUCCGGUGAGGAUGGGGGCCAGGAGUUAGAGAGGUAAGAAGAUCUGAAGAUGCAAGCCUCCUUACUGUGGGGCCACCUACAUGUCCCUCCCCUGGGUUCUGACUUUGCACACUCACCUCUCAUGGAGUCUCAGUCCUAGGGUGAACUCUCUCCCUGAAGUCCUCCAGUGAGCGGCAUGCAGAGGACAAAUUUUUCUUUUCCUUUAUCCCUAGGGUAGCACCAUCUUCCUGCUGAGACCCUCGAAUCUGCAGUCCAUCCUGUCAGAUGCCUGGUUUCACUUUGUCUUGUCUGUUUCCUGUAGCUAUCAAGCAUCCAUCCUUACACCUGCAAAAUACUCCUCCACCUGCUCAAGCCUCCCACAGAGUCAUCCCUCCAGUCAUUAUUUU